GACGAACGCUGGCGGCGUGCCUAAUACAUGCAAGUUGAGCGCUGAAGGUUGGUACUUGUACCAACUGGAUGAGCAGCGAACGGGUGAGUAACGCGUGGGGAAUCUGCCUUUGAGCGGGGGACAACAUUUGGAAACGAAUGCUAAUACCGCAUAAAAACUUUAAACACAUGUUUUAAGUUUGAAAGAUGCAAUUGCAUCACUCAAAGAUGAUCCCGCGUUGUAUUAGCUAGUUGGUGAGGUAAAGGCUCACCAAGGCGAUGAUACAUAGCCGACCUGCGAGGGUGAUCGGCCACAUUGGGAAUGAGACACGGCCCAAACUCCUACGGGAGGGAGCAGUAGGGAAACUUCGGCAAUGGACGGAAGUCUGACCGAGCAACGCCGCGUGAGUGAAGAAGGUUUUCGGAUCGUAAAACUCGGUUGGUAGAGAAGAACGGUGGUGAGAGUGGAAAGCUCAUCAAGUGACGGUAACUACACAGAAAGGGACGGCUAACUACGUG
RNAcentral lists this ribosomal RNA (497 nucleotides) under uncultured bacterium. Its description in RNAcentral is "partial 16S ribosomal RNA". It matches the Rfam family "Bacterial small subunit ribosomal RNA", at positions 28 to 507 of the family's 1533-position model. The record is from RNAcentral.